GGCAGAUCCAUUUUCUGCCACCGAAUACAUUAGCAUGGGAUAAUGGAAUAGGACCCUGUCCUCCUAUUUUCAGUUGGUUUUGGCAGCGCGAGGACUAGGGUAAUGAUUAAUAGGGAUAGUUGGGGGCAUUAAUAUUUAAUUGUCAGAGGUGAAAUUCUUGGAUUUAUGAAAGAUUAACUUCUGCGAAAGCAUCUGCCAAGGAUGUUUUCAUUAAUCAAGAACGAAAGUUAGGGGAUCGAAGACGAUCAGAUACCGUCGUAGUCUUAACCAUAAACGAUGCCGACCAGCGAUUAGGAGACGUUGAAUACAAAACACCACCAUCGGCGCGGUCGUCCUUGGCGUCUGUCCCUUUCAACGGGGGCAGGCGCGAGGGCGGUUUAGCCCGGUGGCACCGGUGAAUGACUCCCCUAGCASCUUGUGAGAA
RNAcentral lists this ribosomal RNA (424 nucleotides) under Acanthamoeba genotype T4. RNAcentral's name for it is "SSU rRNA". It matches the Rfam family "Eukaryotic small subunit ribosomal RNA", at positions 790 to 1107 of the family's 1831-position model. The record is from RNAcentral. Lineage: Eukaryota; Discosea; Longamoebia; Acanthamoebidae.